RNAcentral lists this ribosomal RNA (404 nucleotides) under uncultured prokaryote. RNAcentral's name for it is "bacterial SSU rRNA". It matches the Rfam family "Bacterial small subunit ribosomal RNA", at positions 355 to 776 of the family's 1533-position model. The record is from RNAcentral. RNAcentral also lists the same sequence under 1 other name.
UGGGGAAUAUUGGACAAUGGGCGCAAGUCUGAUCCAGCCAUGCCGCGUGAGUGAUGAAGGCCUUAGGGUUGUAAAGCUCUUUCGCCGGUGAAGAUAAUGACGGUAACCGGAGAAGAAGCCCCGGCUAACUUCGUGCCCGCAGCCGCGGUAAUACGAAGGGGGCUAGCGUUGUUCGGAAUUACUGGGCGUAAAGCGCACGUAGGCGGAUAUUUAAGUCGGGGGUGAAAUCCCAGGGCUCAACCCUGGAACUGCCUCCGAUACUGGGUAUCUCGAGUCCGAGAGAGGUGAGUGGAAUUCCGAGUGUAGAGGUGAAAUUCGUAGAUAUUCGGAAGAACACCAGUGGCGAAGGCGGCUCACUGGCUCGGAACUGACGCUGAGGUGCGAAAGCGUGGGGAGCAAACAGG